AUUACACUUCAAAUGGUUUCUGAUGCAGGUAAUACAUCCAUUUGAUGCUCAAGCAGAUGGGGAGCUAAGUUUAUCCAUUGGUGACUAUGUUGUGGUUCGACAGGUUGCUCCUAAUGGAUGGUCUGAAGGCGAAUGCAAAGGCAAUGCUGGAUGGUUUCCCUCAGCUUAUAUAGAAAGACGGGAAAAAGCUCCAGCAAGCAAGAUCGCUGAAGCUAGUUAAUCAUUAUGGUGCAGAGUUGUUUCAUCUGUAUGUUGUAUAAAUGCUUCUCAAUUUUCAUGUAUUUUUGUGCUAAUUGUAUUAAAUGCUAUAAAAUUGUCCUUAUUCUGAAAGCGUGUAAAUACAUGGUGUUUUUUUGUCAUAAACUGAGAGUUUCAUACUGCUUUAUGCGUAAAUUGUAAUAAUGUGGUAUACGCUUGUUUGAUUAUAACUAGAAAAUAAUUGAUUAUAUGCUA
Nelumbo nucifera (sacred lotus) is the source of this 453-nucleotide non-coding RNA. The record is from RefSeq and is a predicted model, not a curated record. Lineage: Eukaryota; Viridiplantae; Streptophyta; Magnoliopsida; Proteales; Nelumbonaceae.